GACGAACGCUGGCGGCGCGCCUAACACAUGCAAGUCGAACGGAGCUGAGAGAAGCUUGCUUUUCUUAGCUUAGUGGCGAACGGGUGAGUAACGCGUGAGUAACCUGCCCUGGAGUGGGGGACAACAGUUGGAAACGACUGCUAAUACCGCAUAAGCCCACGAUCCGGCAUCGGAUUGAGGGAAAAGGAUUUAUUCGCUUCAGCAUGGACUCGCGUCCAAUUAGCUAGUUGGUGAGGUAACGGCCCACCAAGGCGACGAUUGGUAGCCGGACUGAGAGGUUGAACGGCCACAUUGGGACUGAGACACGGCCCAGACUCCUACGGGAAGCAGCAGUGGGGGAUAUUGCACAAUGGGGGAAACCCUGAUGCAGCGACGCCGCGUGGAGGAAGAAGGUUUUCGGAUUGUAAACUCCUGUCGUUAGGGACGAUAAUGACGGUACCUAACAAGAAAGCACCGGCUAACUACGUG
Molecule: ribosomal RNA, 468 nt
Filed under: uncultured bacterium
Lineage: Bacteria
Description: partial 16S ribosomal RNA
Rfam family: Bacterial small subunit ribosomal RNA
Source: RNAcentral